AUGAUAGUAAAAUGAAGGCUUUGGUGAUAAACAGAUCAGGGUAGCGUGUCUCUUUCAAAACUCUAGUAAAAAUAUUAAAUUCUCUUCAUCUGUCUGUGCUUUCACCCCUGAACUGUUCUGUCUCCUAACUACUUAAUGUUACUGGGAGGGUAAAAAACAAAGGAAACACGGUGUGUUCUCUUUUCUGCUGUGCCCAUUGUUUGCUUCUAAAAUAAAAUGGUAAGAAAAUAUCGGGGGGAGGGGUUCUUUCUCCACAGUGGUUAAUGACUCACUAGCAAACCUUCCACUGCCACCACCUCUCUUUAUGUGAAGAGAUAAUGUCACGAAGAUAAUAGCCUUUUUUCUGUGUCCCUUCUCCAAGAAAUGAGGUUCGUAGCCAGGUUUAUGUCCUUUCUGAUUGAUCUGAAGAGGAGGUAGGAGAACUCGAAUGUUCAUUUCCCCUCCUGUCGGGGCAUUUAUGGGAAUGAGAGGUUAACCAGUCCUGUUGCCCGAGAGAAGUCCUUUUGUGGUGGUAAACACUUGAUUUUAGGGUGUGACUGAGGGAGCAGAAGGCUACCUAGAUAAUCUUUGGAAAGGAAAAUAUAUAGCUCAUUCUUUAAAAAUGGAUCCUAUAUUGGGGGACCCGAAAGGAAGGUCAGAUUUUGAAGAAUGUAUCUUAGUGACCCACGCAACACCUAGUUCACUAGUUCUCCCCAUAAUUGCUCAGCUGUGGUUAUUUUCACUGAUAAAAAUAGCAAUUUGGGGGCAUUAGGGUAGUAGAAGGCUUUUUUUAAAAUAUUCAUUCUUCAAAAAUUAAAAAUUCAAACAUACGAGUUGCCCAAAGCCAUUGAAGAUAGUUUAGGUGUCUAAGAGAACAGCACUAGAUCUGCUGAAAUACACUAUUUCUAAAGGAAAAUGUUAAGUCGCAGGGAACAUCUGCAUCCUGGUAAUUCAUUCUCAUAUAUGGUAGAUGUGCAUGAAGGUGAAUUAUUUAAAUGUGUAUGGACCCGUUACAAAGACACCCUCCCCCCCAACUUCUAGAACGUACUUAACUAUUUGCUCCUACCUCACGGGAAGUGAAAUUUAUGUUCAGGUAAUGACAGGGCUCUAUAGUUGGGCUGCAGUUGAGUAGGAAAGCAAUACACCAGAAAACAGCUUCAACUUGGAUCCCCAGCUUUCCUUUAUUUUUAUCACAGAGUCUUAGAAACCUGUGUUCACUGCUUUUAACACUAGUUGACCAAGAAUGGUCUUCACAAAUCAAAUUUCACAUAAUGUUUCUAGUUGUUUUUGUACAUUGAUUGAAGUUACUCACUAAAUCAGAUACUGUUUUGAACUCGUGUGCUAGGCACGGUGCUGAAAUUCUGGAUGAGCAAGGGCAAAGACAGGCAGUCUAGGAAACGGUAAAAGGUCUUCCUAGAGCAGUACCCAUUCAGCACGUGUCUAGUUCUGAGCUCGAGGAGUAACUUAUGCUGUGUUGUUUCCCAAGACAAGAUUUUAAGAAAUGAGCUAUGAAAUAGAAGCACUUGAGGUGCUGGGCAAAACAUGAAGGAAGAAAAGAAAGUGAGCCAGGUUAAUAAAAUUUACCUUUUUUGAGACCUAUCAUUAGAAGGUCUAGAGUUGAUAGAAAUUUCAAGAAAUCGAAAUGGAGAAAAUGAGGCUGAAAGCAAACCUUUUCAAUUAAUUCCAUUCAGUGCCCAGUAAAGAUGCUACUACAUCUUAGCUUCGACUAACCCUUUCAAAUGACAGUUUGGUAAAUAACAGCUCUCCUAUCAGGCCCAAAAUAAGCUAAAGGGAACUUAAACAAAAACCACUUUGAUUAUAGAGUAGUGAGGAAGAAAUGUGGUUAUUUAAAAUUGUUGAGAGGAGUUCGUGUCAUGGCUCAGUGGUUAACGAACCCAACUAGUAUCCAUGAGUACGUGGGUUCAUUCCCUGGCCUCGCUCAGUGGGUUAAGGAUCUGGCGUUGCCAUGAGCUGUGGUGUAGGUCACAGAUGCAGCUCAGAUCCUGCAUGGCUGUGGCUGUGGUGUAGGCCGGCAGCUGUAGCUCCAAUUCAACCCCUAGCCUAGGAACCUCCGUAUGCCGAGGGUGCGGCCCUAAAAAGACAUAAAUAAACAAAAUUGUUAAAAGAGAUUUCAUUCCCUGUUUUUUUGUUGUUGUUUUUUGUUUGUAGAAUUUGCUUUUUUUUUUUUCUCUCCCUAUUUCUGAGUCACAGAACUUGAAUUAAAAGAGGCCUCACCAGGACACUAGCUCUUAUAAAGUGACUUAAAUCCUAAUUCUUUUAGGACUUUCUGGAAGGUUUUAAAAGAAUAAAUUAUAUUUUGUCACUGCUUAUUGAAAUUGCCGUACCAGGAUUAUUGGGCUUUCAACUUGAAUUCUAUAUUGCAAAAUAUGCGUGUUUGCUUUUGGGUCAAAAAGGUUUUAGGUGUAUUCCAUCUCGUAAUAUAGUCUGUCCAGGAAGUAGAAGAGUAGAAUCCUGUAUUUUCCUUAUACUUAGCAAUCUUAAACAGGAGAUUAGGUUUCUUACAUCAGGACUGCGUAAGGAAUCUCUGUACCUCUGUGUAGCUUGCUUUCUUAACAUGAAAAGGGAAUCCCUACAAAAUGUCCUUAUGACAGGAAGGACAGGCUAAACCUGGAAGCAAGAGGUCACCACCUCUCUGUGGAGAUGGUCUCUGACUCGAUAGCAGCCUAUCCCGAAGAAUAACUGCAAACUCAGCUUCCCUGGUUCUUAAAGCUCAAUCUAAAGGGAAUUUUUAAAAUCCUGAUUUUCAUCUGGACUGCAAAACCUAGUGAAUGCCCAGGGGAGAAGAAAAGUAAAUCCAACAUUGGAUUAAGAUUUAAGUAAACUUGGAAUUGUGCUUUUACUGAAAUUUUUUUUUAAGAUUUGGCGUUCCUGUAACAUGAAUUGCCAUGAGUGGAACAUGGAAUUUGAUUUGAGGCAUUUUGUGCACUAAGUAAUGGUUUUCUGUUGAAAUCUCUAGUGGCAGCUUCUGCCACUGAUCAGGAUUUAGGGCUGUGCACUCGUGUUUUAAGUGAUGCAGACACUGGCUCAUAAAUACCACAUUAAACCAACCUGACUCACAUGCUUCAUUUUAUUAAUUUUAAUCAUGGAUCUUCUUUUAAAGUACUUAAUAUCUAAAUUUCAGAUUAGCCUAAUCAGAAAGCAGUGCAUUAAAUGUUAUCAAAAUAUCUGAAGAUACUUUAGAACUGUUUUACACAUGGUCUGUAUCCUUCCUAUGGAAAGUGUGAUAACAUAAAAUUUUAUAUUUCUUGGAUCAGUUCUUCUCAAAAGCCAGUGUCUAAUGUUUUCAGAUACCUAGAGCUUGGAAAUGAUGGAGUUGAAGUUCAAGCACAAGUCAGUAGUUCUGUUCAUUUUAGGUUUUCAGGCACAGCAAUUUGAAGACUUCAGUAGUGACCCCAUUUGAACCUAUAUAUAUAUAUAUAUAAUCAUUUUAAUGAAACUUUCAGAUUCUCAAAUUUGGUCUCCUGUUUGUUGCAUAAGGAGAUAAAUUCUGGGCUGGGAAGGACCUGCUAGUUCUCUGAUAAUAAACUGAUUGAAGAACAAUUUGUUCUUACAGAUUUCAUGAAAUUUCUAAAACUCAUUAAAGAUCUAGAGUACAUGACAAAUGAAACUAUAGAAAUUAAACUUUUCCUUUAGCUGUAAGUGCUAUGACCUUUUUUUUUUUUUUUAACCCCCUCUUGAUUCUGCAGCUCAUUGCAUCACACCUUAAGACUCUCACCAGCACCAAGAGAAAUCAGAAUGGAAAAAAUGACCUUAUGUUGGUCUUACUCACUUUAAAAUCUUUGUGCACAUAGGCCUUAGCACUUUGACAGAUAAAGCUCUGCCUUUUAGCUCCUUCUCUUGUCUUUAUUCCUCCCACUUUUAGACUGUUCCUUUGAUGGUCAUAUAAAACUACCUUCAGAAUUGAAUGUAUAGUAAUGUUUCUGCACAUGGACAAACUGUAUUUUAAUGACUCGUGUUGAAUAA
RNAcentral lists this long non-coding RNA (3963 nucleotides) under Sus scrofa (pig). RNAcentral describes it as "lncRNA (ENSSSCG00000060465.1)". The record is from RNAcentral. Lineage: Eukaryota; Metazoa; Chordata; Mammalia; Artiodactyla; Suidae.